Molecule: ribosomal RNA, 2928 nt
Filed under: Escherichia coli
Lineage: Bacteria; Pseudomonadati; Pseudomonadota; Gammaproteobacteria; Enterobacterales; Enterobacteriaceae
Description: partial 23S ribosomal RNA
Rfam family: Bacterial large subunit ribosomal RNA
Source: RNAcentral
GGGUUGUGAGGUUAAGCGACUAAGCGUACACGGUGGAUGCCCUGGCAGUCAGAGGCGAUGAAGGACGUGCUAAUCUGCGAUAAGCGUCGGUAAGGUGAUAUGAACCGUUAUAACCGGCGAUUUCCGAAUGGGGAAACCCAGUGUGUUUCGACACACUAUCAUUAACUGAAUCCAUAGGUUAAUGAGGCGAACCGGGGGAACUGAAACAUCUAAGUNAGGUGAUAUGAACCGUUAUAACCGGCGAUUUCCGAAUGGGGAAACCCAGUGUGUUUCGACACACUAUCAUUAACUGAAUCCAUAGGUUAAUGAGGCGAACCGGGGGAACUGAAACAUCUAAGUACCCCGAGGAAAAGAAAUCAACCGAGAUUCCCCCAGUAGCGGCGAGCGAACGGGGAGCAGCCCAGAGCCUGAAUCAGUGUGUGUGUUAGUGGAAGCGUCUGGAAAGGCGYGCGAUACAGGGUGACAGCCCCGUACACAAAAAUGCACAUACUGUGAGCUCGAUGAGUAGGGCGGGACACGUGGUAUCCUGUCUGAAUAUGGGGGGACCAUCCUCCAAGGCUAAAUACUCCUGACUGACCGAUAGUGAACCAGUACCGUGAGGGAAAGGCGAAAAGAACCCCGGCGAGGGGAGUGAAAAAGAACCUGAAACCGUGUACGUACAAGCAGUGGGAGCCUCUUAAUGGGGUGACUGCGUACCUUUUGUAUAAUGGGUCAGCGACUUAUAUUCUGUAGCAAGGUUAACCGAAUAGGGGAGCCGAAGGGAAACCGAGUCUUAACUGGGCGUUAAGUUGCAGGGUAUAGACCCGAAACCCGGUGAUCUAGCCAUGGGCAGGUUGAAGGUUGGGUAACACUAACUGGAGGACCGAACCGACUAAUGUUGAAAAAUUAGCGGAUGACUUGUGGCUGGGGGUGAAAGGCCAAUCAAACCGGGAGAUAGCUGGUUCUCCCCGAAAGCUAUUUAGGUAGCGCCUCGUGAAUUCAUCUCCGGGGGUAGAGCACUGUUUCGGCAAGGGGGUCAUCCCGACUUACCAACCCGAUGCAAACUGCGAAUACCGGAGAAUGUUAUCACGGGAGACACACGGCGGGUGCUAACGUCCGUCGUGAAGAGGGAAACAACCCAGACCGCCAGCUAAGGUCCCAAAGUCAUGGUUAAGUGGGAAACGAUGUGGGAAGGCCCAGACAGCCAGGAUGUUGGCUUAGAAGCAGCCAUCAUUUAAAGAAAGCGUAAUAGCUCACUGGUCGAGUCGGCCUGCGCGGAAGAUGUAACGGGGCUAAACCAUGCACCGAAGCUGCGGCAGCGACACUAUGUGUUGUUGGGUAGGGGAGCGUUCUGUAAGCCUGYGAAGGUGUACUGUGAGGUAUGCUGGAGGUAUCAGAAGUGCGAAUGCUGACAUAAGUAACGAUAAAGCGGGUGAAAAGCCCGCUCGCCGGAAGACCAAGGGUUCCUGUCCAACGUUAAUCGGGGCAGGGUGAGUCGACCCCUAAGGCGAGGCCGAAAGGCGUAGUCGAUGGGAAACAGGUUAAUAUUCCUGUACUUGGUGUUACUGCGAAGGGGGGACGGAGAAGGCUAUGUUGGCCGGGCGACGGUUGUCCCGGUUUAAGCGUGUAGGCUGRUUUUCCAGGCAAAUCCGGAAAAUCAAGGCUGAGGCGUGAUGACGAGGCACUACGGUGCUGAAGCAACAAAUGCCCUGCUUCCAGGAAAAGCCUCUAAGCAUCAGGUAACAUCAAAUCGUACCCCAAACCGACACAGGUGGUCAGGUAGAGAAUACCAAGGCGCUUGAGAGAACUCGGGUGAAGGAACUAGGCAAAAUGGUGCCGUAACUUCGGGAGAAGGCACGCUGAUAUGUAGGUGAAGUCCCUUGCGGAUGGAGCUGAAAUCAGUCGAAGAUACCAGCUGGCUGCAACUGUUUAUUAAAAACACAGCACUGUGCAAACACGAAAGUGGACGUAUACGGUGUGACGCCUGCCCGGUGCCGGAAGGUUAAUUGAUGGGGUUAGCGGUAACGCGAAGCUCUUGAUCGAAGCCCCGGUAAACGGCGGCCGUAACUAUAACGGUCCUAAGGUAGCGAAAUUCCUUGUCGGGUAAGUUCCGACCUGCACGAAUGGCGUAAUGAUGGCCAGGCUGUCUCCACCCGAGACUCAGUGAAAUUGAACUCGCUGUGAAGAUGCAGUGUACCCGCGGCAAGACGGAAAGACCCCGUGAACCUUUACUAUAGCUUGACACUGAACAUUGAGCCUUGAUGUGUAGGAUAGGUGGGAGGCUUUGAAGUGUGGACGCCAGUCUGCAUGGAGCCGGCCUUGAAAUACCACCCUUUAAUGUUUGAUGUUCUAACGUUGGCCCCUGAUCGGGGUUGCGGACAGUGUCUGGUGGGUAGUUUGACUGGGGCGGUCUCCUCCUAAAGAGUAACGGAGGAGCACGAAGGUUGGCUAAUCCUGGUCGGACAUCAGGAGGUUAGUGCAAUGGCAUAAGCCAGCUUGACUGCGAGCGUGACGGCGCGAGCAGGUGCGAAAGCAGGUCAUAGUGAUCCGGUGGUUCUGAAUGGAAGGGCCAUCGCUCAACGGAUAAAAGGUACUCCGGGGAUAACAGGCUGAUACCGCCCAAGAGUUCAUAUCGACGGCGGUGUUUGGCACCUCGAUGUCGGCUCAUCACAUCCUGGGGCUGAAGUAGGUCCCAAGGGUAUGGCUGUUCGCCAUUUAAAGUGGUACGCGAGCUGGGUUUAGAACGUCGUGAGACAGUUCGGUCCCUAUCUGCCGUGGGCGCUGGAGAACUGAGGGGGGCUGCUCCUAGUACGAGAGGACCGGAGUGGACGCAUCACUGGUGUUCGGGUUGUCAUGCCAAUGGCACUGCCCGGUAGCUAAAUGCGGAAGAGAUAAGUGCUGAAAGCAUCUAAGCACGAAACUUGCCCCGAGAUGAGUUCUCCCUGACUC